UAAUACGUAGGUGGCGAGCGUUGUCCGGAAUUACUGGGUGUAAAGGGCGCGUAGGCGGGGAUGUAAGUCAGAUGUGAAAUACCAUGGCUCAACCGUGGGGCUGCAUCUGAAACUAUGUUUCUUGAGUGCUGGAGAGGAAAGCGGAAUUCCUAGUGUAGCGGUGAAAUGCGUAGAUAUUAGGAGGAACACCAGUGGCGAAGGCGGCUUUCUGGACAGUAACUGACGCUGAGGCGCGAAAGCGUGGGGAGCGAACAGGAUUAGAUACCCUGGUAGUCCACGCCGUAAACGAUGGAUACUAGGUGUAGGAGGUAUCGACCCCUUCUGUGCCGGAGUAAACACAAUAAGUAUCCCACCUGGGGAGUACGGCCGCAAGGUUGAAACUCAAAGGAAUUGACGGGGGCCCGCACAAGCAGUGGAGUAUGUGGUUUAAUUCGAAGCAACGCGAAGAACCUUACCAGGGCUUGACAUACAGAGGGAUAUGUCAGAGAUGGCAUAGCUCUUCGGAGCCUCUGUACAGGUGGUGCAUGGUUGUCGUCAGCUCGUGUCGUGAGAUGUUGGGUUAAGUCCCGCAACGAGCGCAACCCUUGUUGUUAGUUGGUAACACGUAAAGGUGACCACUCUAACGAGACUGCCGGUGACAAAUCGGAGGAAGGUGGGGACGACGUCAAAUCAUCAUGCCCCUUAUGUCCUGGGCUACACACGUACUACAAUGGCUACAACAAAGGGAAGCGAAGCCGUAAGGCGGAGCAAAUCCCCAAAAGUAGUCCCAGUUCGGAUUGUGGGCUGCAACCCGCCCACAUGAAGUCGGAAUUGCUAGUAAUGGCAGGUCAGCAUACUGCCGUGAAUACGUUCCCGGGCCUUGUACACACCGCCCGUCACACCAUGAGAGUCAGCAACACCCGAAGUCAGUAGCUUAACCGCAAGGAGGGCGCUGCCGAAGGUGGGGCCGAUGAUUGGGGUG
RNAcentral lists this ribosomal RNA (961 nucleotides) under uncultured bacterium. RNAcentral's name for it is "bacterial SSU rRNA". It matches the Rfam family "Bacterial small subunit ribosomal RNA", at positions 521 to 1482 of the family's 1533-position model. The record is from RNAcentral.